GGCCUUGUAUUCAUUUUGUGAUUAUAGAAUGCAAUUCUGUAGGGAUAAGUUAAAUUACUUAUCAAGGCCU
This 70-nucleotide transfer RNA is filed under the name Ateuchotermes sp. C TB-2017. RNAcentral's name for it is "tRNA-Cys". Lineage: Eukaryota; Metazoa; Arthropoda; Insecta; Blattodea; Termitidae. The record is from RNAcentral.